GAUUUGUAAUUACUUAUCCUUUGAGGGGAUUUCAUUGUUGUGCUAGGGAUAUUAGGAAUUUAUGUUUGGUGUGAUGAUCGGUAUAGGAUGAAUCUCACGCGUUCUAGUUUUGGAUUGAUUGAUUCUUUCUUAGAAUAGUGAGCAUUUUUUGUUUUUCCAAAAUUCUUUGCUUAUGUUAGAACAAGCAAAUACAUCUUGAUAUAGUCAAAUCCUUA
RNAcentral lists this unclassified non-coding RNA (215 nucleotides) under Hevea brasiliensis (rubber tree). Lineage: Eukaryota; Viridiplantae; Streptophyta; Magnoliopsida; Malpighiales; Euphorbiaceae. The record is from RNAcentral.